AACACUCACUGGGGUAAGACAGGGCUGAGUCCCGGACCCAAUUUUAUUACUGAGCAGACUCGGGCAGGGUAUCUUCCUCUCCAUGCCUCAUUUUCCUCUUACUGUGACCUCAUACAAAGGCUGCGAGGACUGGGCAUUCACUCAUUCAAAAAGGACUUACUGGGCACUCAUUCUACAAUGGCACAUACUCUAAAGAGUGAUGCCAAUGCUGCUGGACCACAGACUGAAUUUCAGAUGAUCUAUGAAAACAUAUUCUACCUGGAAAUCGAUGAAAACAGGAUUCUUCAUCCAGCUCUCAAAGAAUCUGUGGCAGUAGAAUUCAUCAAUGUGGAUGUACUUUCAUAAGCAGCCUGUGAGAUAAACUGGCAAUGACUUUGUAUUUGUGGAUGAUCUUGCAUGAUCUAAUAAAAAAAGAGUCUUGCCC
Molecule: long non-coding RNA, 424 nt
Filed under: Capra hircus (goat)
Lineage: Eukaryota; Metazoa; Chordata; Mammalia; Artiodactyla; Bovidae
Description: lncRNA (ENSCHIG00000004763.1)
Source: RNAcentral